GAUGGACUAGAGGUGUUUCUCAUCAAUAUCCAACCGAAUACAGUUUGUAACGCAGAAGGUUGUUUCAGAUUACCUGGCAAACGACCUGUUCUCAGAAUGAGAGGAAAGAUAGCUGCUCCUACUAGCAUAUCAACUGGACCAGGAGAAUGAAAGGUUGGGUCAGCCAGUUUGAUAUUAGAAAGAGAAUACCACUCAUGGUAGGGUAGAAAGUUGUUAGGCAUAUUAGAACAAAUCUUCGGCAAUACGACUGCAUCAAUAGUGUAAGAUGGAUUUAUGGACCCUAUCGGACGAAUUGUACAUGUUAUGGAAUCAGAAACAGAUGCUGAUGUUUCACCAAGGCCAAAGAUAGCAAGAGGGGUUUUAAAACAUUCAAGUCCUAACCUUUUUACGCAUUUUUGUGUGAUUAUAUUCGUUUGGGAGCCUGGAUCUAAAAGAAUGCGAAUAUUUUGAUAUUGACCUCGAGCAUCUAAGACUUCAACCCGCGCAGUAGCUAGCAACACAGUAGCUGGCGAUGCAGAUAUGUUUGUUAACACUUGAGAGCGGCAUACCAUGGAAGUAGAUGGAAUUUCAUUACAAGGAUCAAUUGUUUCAGGAGAUGGAUCAAUUGUCCCUAAAUGCAACAAUGUGUGAUGACUCUUAUGACAAUGACGGCAAGUAGAUUUCGACGAACACCCCGAUACUCUAUGUCCCGAAUGAAGGCAGUUAAUACACCAAUUUUUGUCUUUAACGAUUUGCAAUCUUGCUGAUGGAGGUUCAUUGAGGAAAGAAGAGCAUUUAUAAAUUUAAUGGUUAGCAUUACAAUAGCUGCAUGAAAAUUUGUUCGGCGAAUUUGACUGAGUAAGAAAUGUUGAACUUUUUUCAUAAGGCUUAUCACUUGAUGAUGCAUUCACGCGUUGUGAAACCGAGAACUUAAGUGACUCUAAAGAAAUACAUUGAUUUUUGAGAAAUUUAUAAAGAGCACGAUACGAAGGAAUUUCUGUGGAACAUUCUUGCAGCUCAAAUCUCUUAAUUGUUGCUAUAUCUAAUUUCUGUAUGAGCGAAUGAAAAAGAAUAAAAUCCCAAUCUUCAAUAGGCAAAUUAAGAUUUUUCAAAGCUGUUAAAUUCUCCGAAAAUAUUGCUAAUAAAUUUCUCAGACCAUCCACUGACUCAUUGGUUAGUUUAGGUGCGUUACAUAUUUCCUUCCAAAAAGAAUUUGCUAAAAGCCUCUUGUUUUGAUAUCUUUCAGUUAACGUUUCGAAAGCUAAUUGAUAAUUUUCUUUUGUUAACUGAUAUCCCUUCAGAAGAUUUCUCGUUUCAGAAGACAACGAACUGAGUAAAUAUUGAAAUUUAUCAAUAUCUGAUAAGGUGGAAUUUGUGUGAAUCAAACUAUUAAAAAUGUCGAAAAAAGUAGGCCAAUUCUUAUAACUUCCAUCAAAUGUCGGUAAAGAAAUUUUUGGAAGCUUGACAUUUGGCGUUGUUGACGUUGUAUCAAUAUUCGAGGAGGUUUCUUCGUUGAAUAAAUUAGUGUAAAUGGUCUUGACAGUAAAGAAAUUAUGCAUAAAGCUAGUUUUUAUCUCCUUUUCAGCGAUCAUAUCUGGAUUUUAGAUUGUUGACAAAAUGGAGAUAAUCGAAUUAUGCAUUGUUUUAAAUUCUUCGAGAAUAUCAUCUAAAUUGGAACACCGCAAAUUAAAUCGAACGUGCAAACUUUGAUCAGUUACAGCAAGUUGGGCGAGCGCUAGUAUUUCCAAGAUUUCAUCUAUUUGAAGUUGGCGCAAGGCUUUUGCUUGUUUCAAUUUAUUGACACUCAUUUUAUCGAAAUGAAUGAAUAAAAUUCGAUAUUCUGCAAAGACGUGAUAAUAAAAAAAGAAAACAAUGAUAUAAUGAGUCUAUCCUCAAUAUAUUUAUUCUUCACCAAAAUAUUUGUAUGCAAAUAAAAUUAAAUUGUCUGAAAAAUGAAAAACAAUUUAUUUUCCGGAUGAAAACAAUCGUAAAAUUCUCGUACUGACGACGAUCAUGAAAAUAUUCAAGAUAACAUGAAACAGAUGUGCAGUUAUGAUAAGAGAAAUAUGGGACAGAGUUCUGAUGCUCUUUCCGCUGCUUAUCAAAUGCAAAACAAAAUUAAAUGAAUAUUUUCAAUUUGAAACGAUGGAAUUUUGAAAUGAGAACGUCUAUUAAAAGAAAAUUCGGCUCUGAUUGGACCAAUGUCGCCGACUGAGGCGUAUUUAUGAAUUUAAUGGACUGUAUAAAAAAUAAUGAAAAUAAAUCGAGUACUGGUCAAAUCGACCUACCUUCACUGAUUGUUUGUAAACCUCAAUUAUCCUGCUAUUUUAAGGCACAAUCCUGAUCAUUAACAAUGUCGAAAUCACUGGUAAUUGUAGAAAUUUUAUAUUUUCUCUCUGCAGCACAUCGAAAACCCAAAACUCAAAACUUCUCUCUUGCUUCUUCCACAUGUGUUCGCUGCAGGUAUGGUAUUAAAUUUGACCAACACAUGCGCGCGAAAAAUUGAAAUAAAACUUGAAUUUCUUCCAACAAAACAUUCUCAUUCCACAAACCAAAAUUAACUAAAAUAAAUUUAAGUCUGAAAUUAAAGAAAGAAAAAUGAAAGUUUUUUAGGUACUUGGAACCUGAACAAUUAUAUUUAGUCUUAAAAUUUAAAUCGACUCUUAUUGACCCAGUAAACUAAUCCUGUCCCUAGAGAAAGAAGGUCAACUAAAAAGACCUGUCCAUUGAAGCGACGGGCCGGACUCACAUAACAUCUUAGUGAAUUUACAUAAUUAUUAAUUCUCCGAGACCUCUGGAAAACCGCUCUUCCAGGGGUUCAAAGAGCAUCUCAACCGGAGAUAAGUGAACGAUUGAUCAACUUUCUCUGACCAACCCGUUCAUGACACAACCAAGAUUAAACGCGCAAACUCCAUAAACAACUGAUAUGCUAACCUCAGUUUUUUAAAAGUCCUUUAUGCAAGCAGUUGUUAUCGUUUCCAACAUUUUAAUUGUUGACAACGGAACCACACAAAGUGAAAAUGAAAAAUGAAGGUAUCAUAACUGAUCCUUGGAGAGAUAAGGAGAAGAAGAUCCAUAAAUUUCAAGAUUUGCAGGAGUUUAGAACUAAGAAGAGGAAGAGCUCAAUCCUGAUAUUUUUCAAUAUCCUGGAUAUUAUAUGAUUGGAUGAGUGAAUAUCCUCCUUAGUGGAGAGUGAGAAAUCCGACUGCGAGCGUGCGAAGAUGUUCUUCCUCUUGCGCUGAUAGGCUAAAGUCGGGCCAUUUCUUUAAAUCAUUUAUUGUAAUAAUGUAUUUUGAAUAGCAAUAAAAACUUAAUGAAUACAA
This is a long non-coding RNA of Harmonia axyridis, 3302 nucleotides long. RefSeq lists it as uncharacterized. Lineage: Eukaryota; Metazoa; Arthropoda; Insecta; Coleoptera; Coccinellidae. The transcript is spliced from 2 exons. The record is from RefSeq and is a predicted model, not a curated record.